Molecule: long non-coding RNA, 1043 nt
Organism: Biomphalaria glabrata
Lineage: Eukaryota; Metazoa; Mollusca; Gastropoda; Planorbidae
Exons: 5
Source: RefSeq, a predicted model, not a curated record
GGAUAGCCAUUCUUGCUAAACUGAAUCCUCUAUAUAAUAUUCUCUCUAUAUAAAUCUAGAUCUAUCUAGUAGGUCUAGAUCUAAGCAUUUAACUUCAUUAAAUGUACCAAGCUCACUCCAAACAUUUGCCCAUUUAUUCUCUAUAAAAAAAACAACAACAAACGAACAUAUAUAUGAUAUAAGAUCAUUAACAUUGAUGUCCAAAACUGGCUGUCCGAAAAGAAUAGAAUUUCUGUGAUGUGGUAACUAAAAUGUCCAGCAAAGUACCUCACCCAGAAGAAGCUGAGGCUGAGCCUUGCAUCAAAAUUGUCUUUGUUAUACAGGAACUUAAUACUGAGCAUUUGGCAGAUUGUGUUUCAACAGUAGAGAUAGGUGGACUGAAAUAUGACCUACAGAAUUUUUUUCAGAUGAAAGCAACAGAACAAGUUUGGACCUACCAACAUAAGAUAUUGGAUGAUAAAAAAACUUUGAAUCAUUAUGGUAUUGAUAUAUAUUGCCCGGAACCAAUUCAGAUAGAAGUCUCCAAGUUCAAAAGCUAAUAGAGAGUUAACCUCUGGAGGAGUUCAAAUUAUGUCAAGUCCAUAUACACAGAGGAUAGAGUUCAAAUCCUGUUCAAGUUCAAUUACAGAGGAUAGAGUUCAAAUCCUGUUCAAGUUCAAUUACAGAGGAUAGAGUUCAAAUCCUGUUCAAGUUCACUCUCAGAGGAUAGAGUUCAAAUCCUGUUCAAGUUCCCUCACAGAGGAUAGAGUUUUAGCUUGUUUAAGUUCACACACAUUGACUUGUAUAUCAGGCAAUAUUUAAGUUGUCUUUAAUGUUGGAUAUAAUGAUGCUGGCGUAAUAUUGGACCUACUCUAAUAGUGUUUUCUUGGAAACCCAUUUAAUAGAAAAUUUUAAGAAAAGCUAGAUGAGUGAAAACCUAUCAUGACUUAAGGGAAACUUUUUUUUAAUCUUUCAUUGAUAAAAAAAAAAACAACCUUUGUUCCCUAUUUUUAACUCAACUCUAAGUUCUAAUGGCGAGUUUUCCUUAAAAAAAAAAAAACGAA